CUUUUUAGGGCUGCACCCACAGUAUAUGGAUGUUCCCAGGCUAGCGGUUGAAUCCGAGCUGCAGCUGCCAGCCUAUACCACAGCCAUAGCAAUGCCAGAUCUGAGCUGCCUCUGAGAUCUACACUGCAGCUCACAGCAAUGGGCAAUCCUUAACCCACCGAGCGAGGCCAGGGAUUGAACCUGCGUCCCUAUGGAUCCUACUUGGGUUUGUUAGUGCUGAGCUACAGUGGGAACUCCAAGAAUUAAUAUUGAGAGAAGGAGAUAUACAAGGACAGGGCCAUGCCAAGGGGCACUACUCCUGUGUGUAGGGAGGUGCCUAUAAUUUGGACUUAACAAAAAUACCUAUCAUACCUGAUAAGACUGGUCAAAAGCCACAACUAUCUGUAUAAUAUUUCUAUAUUUUAUAUUGAAUUUAUUAAUGGCAAUUUACACAACAUUAUCUCUUUCCCAUGGGAUGGUAGGGCUCUAUCAAAAUAGGUCAAAAAUCCUUUGCUUUAAAACAGGCAAAAUGUAUAUUCCUAAGUCCAUGAAAUUUAUUUCUUAGAGCCCCAUUUUGUCCAUAAAUUCAGAAGUUACCCCUGAAACAAAAAAUUCUACUCAGGCAUUUUGUGCUGAAGUUGAAACAAUAUGAACACAAAUAUAACAAAUUUAGACCCAAGACUUUUUUUUUUUCUUGAAAAAGCCUUUCCACUUCUGAAGAAAUGUCCUCUCAAGGGACCUGAACAUGUCCAGCCACUGACUUUCUCACAAACAGGAUUUGGAGGGAGCUGGGUUUUCCAUGGUGAAAACAUCCAGAUUCAUCGCAAGAAGAAAAUUUCCCACAACUAGCUAAACUCAAAUCUUUAAGGAAACGGUAUGUUACAUUUCUGAAAUGUUUAUAUCCAGGGUCUCAGAGGCAAAUACAUCGUCCACAUGAUUGGGUAAAUAUUUCUUUUAGAACGUAAACAUAAUUUUUAUUCUGAAAAUCUUAACGACAGAGUUUUUUGGUUUUUUUUUUUUUCCAAGGAAGUUUGGAAUUAAAAAAUAUUUAAGGCAGCCAGCUUUUUGAUUACAUUGCCAAGGAGUCCUAAACUUGAACAUUUACCAAGGAUAUUAGGGAAAGGUCGCAAGAAGACAAUGAUUGACCCCAUGUGAAUUGUCCACGUUCGCCAUAAAAUAUUUCCCAUUCCUCAUAGUUGCAAACUGGCUGGUUAGUGUGUAAAAUCAGUGUGGAUUUGGGGCUGGGCUGAAGGGCUUGCUUGGAGGGCAGCACUGGGUCACACAGAACCGUGUUCUCUGUGACACGCCAGCAAGGCCCACACUCUUGUCUCUGAGGCAGUCACUCUAGAUGGCCCAGAGGGUACGUAAGAGCUCUUGUGCCCAGCACCCAGACUUGGGGUGAUGAAAGCAAAGGAUGUAUUUCCAAGAAUGAUUUGGUCUUUAUUUAUUUAUUUGCUUUUUAGAGCUGCACCCGUGGCUAUGGAGUUUCCCAGGCUAGGGGUCGAAUUGGAGCUACAGCUGCUGGCCUACACCACAGCCACAGCAACGCCAGAUCCGAGCUGUGUCUGUGACCUACACCACAGCUCAUGGCAACGCCGGAUCCUUAACCCACUGAGUGAGGCCAGGGAUCGAACCUCUGUCCUCAUGGAUGCUAGUCAGAUUUGUUUCUGCUGAGCCACGAGGGGAACUUCUGGUUUCAAUUUAAAAUUCAAGACAUGGAAACAANGACUGCUGAGUGUGAUUUGGGCAACAUGUAGUUGGACCAAGGGACAGACAGGUCCCUCUGCUGCUGGCAAGACAGUGCCCAGACAGCCCAGGAGGCGGCCCUCAUGGCUUCAGCAGAGGCUGAGCUGGUCUUCGGGGUCUGAGCACAGUUCAGACACACCUUCAGGGCUUGAGGGGCCCAGCAGCAGCAGAGAGAGGAAGAAAGCAGAGAGGACUCAUGGGUUGCAGAGAAGUCUACAUAUAAGCACAUGUGAGCAUCGCAGGGGGUCUCCAGACCUUGUGUGUGUGUGUGUGUGUGUGUGUGUGUGUGUGUGUGUGUGUGUUAACUCAGUAGACCUGAGGCUGCUGCAGGUUCUGGUGAAGCCAAAGCCACAGGCAGAGGCCUAGUUACUAAAUCUGUGAUCCAGUGUUUACUUCUCUGCUGGAAGGCUUAAGCAGAGAGAGGCUGUGGUACCAGUUCUUGCUGCAAUAUUACCCCCCCAUCACAAAUUCUUUUAAUUAAACAGUUGGAAUCAUAUGUUAAAAAUACUCCAGAGAACUAUGUAAAUUUAUGUAAAAAAUACAUUAAAACCAAAUAAUCACAUAAUGGGUAGAUUUUUUUUUAACAUGUAUUUCUCAAAUAAAAUUCCUACAGAUGUAUGCAUAUAUGUAUGUAUAUGUACGUAUAUGUGAGUACGUGUGUGUGUAUAUAUAUAACGAGUUAUAUAUGAAUUAAAUCCUUAAGCAAAGAGCAAAAAGAAUAUUUCUCUUUCUCUCUCUCUCUCUUUUUUUAGGGCUGUACCCGCAGCCUAUGGAAGUUCCAAGGCCAGGGGUUGAACUGGAGCCACAGCCACAGAAACGCCAGAUCCUUAACCCACUGAGCAAAGCCAGGGAUCCAACCCAUGUCUUCAUGGGUACUAGUUGGGUUCAUUACCACUGAGCCACGAUGGGAACUCUGAGAGUAUUUCUCUUUAAAGUUUUCUAUUAUUAAUGAUUUCUAGGGAAGAAAGGUGGCAGUGCACUUUUUGGAGGGGAGAAGGGGGAGUCGGAGCUAGCCUCACCAGAGACAACUCCGAUACUAUCUUCAUCUGGAAUAAGUGUUUGAUAUCUGUUUGUGAGACAGAUUCCAGAAAAGGAGAAUAUUAAAUAAGUUAAAGGAAAGCCAAAAAUAUUUCCCCUUCACUAAUAGUCUAAAUAUUCACAAGACAUUUAUCACUAUGAAAUGCAUGACUGUGAGACUCUAAUUAAAUUGCUAUUUCUAGCCCUUGAGCUACAGUGAGAAUUCUAUAAAGGAGGCCAUAAACCAGUUAUCAACUAUUUUAAUCACAGUUUGAAUUAACACAAGAAAACAGUACCCAAGGAGAGGGCAUAAUUUUUACUCACAUUCAACAGGCUUAAAAUUCCAAACCAGACAGCAAGUUCUCCAUAGACAAGGUCUGUUCCUCUUAUUUCUCUGUUUACACUUAGGGCCCUGAAUAGGGCUCUGCAGAGUCUGUACUGCAUAAAUCUUACAGGCUGACUUGCAAGAGUCUCUUAAAAAAAUCAUAAAAACAUCAUUUAACUCAAAUUCCAGGUUAGAACAUCCUGUGAGGCUCUCUGCCCAGUAAUCAUAAACUCAUCAUGUAAUGAUGUCAGCAACUGGACAUGCUCACAAACCUCAUGCAAAGGCAUUCGUGUUGCUAAAUCUGCACAGAGGAAGUCUCUGGCUUGCUGUCAAAAAUCAGACAUGUGGACAUUGUGAUUCAGCGUUGUCCUAGCAUCAAUUCAAGAACCAGCAAGGAAAAGGAAAUGAGAAGAAAGAAAUGAAUUUGUAGAUUAGAUGCAAAGGAUGCCAUAUCCUGACAGUUCCUGCCUCUUACUCUCUUUGGGUCCCUGCAAGCCCGCCCUGGCCAUGUGGGUUUCCAGAAUCACACAUAUAGAUGUUGAUGGGGUCACCACUCAGGCUGCUCUCCAGAAAAAUGAGAACCUCUAAACAGGGACAUUGGAAACAUCUGUUCAACAAUUAUUUGUAAGUAUCCAGUAUGUGCCACUUAUUGAUCUAAUUAGUAGGGCUCCAAGCGUGAGCAAAACUGGUCCUCUGAUUUUUAGGAGAUUCAAAAAACUCUGGAAAGAAAAGAAGUAUCAAAUACUUUGAAGAGAAUGAAUUAUAAAUUAUGGAGCAGUUAUCUUACUCAUAAAUAUGCACUUAAUGCUCGCAAUGACACAUAGUCAAAAUUUUAGCCUGGUUCUGCUUCAAGCCACCAGCUUCAUGUCACCAUGGGAGCUGGAAAGCACUAGCAAGGGUCCUCUAGUGUCUUUUUGGGCUCUAAUUUGUAAUCAUCUUUUCCUCUUUUUGGGGGGGAAGGUGGUGGUGCCUGCUAUAUGCAGAAAUUCUCCUGGGCCAGGGAUUGAACCCACACCAUAGCAGUAACCCAAGCCACAGAAGUGACAAUGCCGGGUCCUCCACCUGCUGGGCCACUAGAGAACUCCUUCCCCUUUUUAAAAUUAUUCUGAUUUGACUCUUUCCUCUCAAGUCUCAUUGCUGCUUUUGCCUUCUGGUCUUGCACCUACCAAGGUUUCACCAACUAAAUAUGUAUUUAUUUAUUUAUUUUUAUUUAGGAAGUUUUCAAGUGUGCACAAAGUUGACUGCAUCAUGAGUCGACAAAUGAUUCAUUUUUAUUAUACGAUGAAUUUCCAUGGACUUAUCCCGGCGCUUCAGCCAUCAUCAUUGUUUUGCCAAUCUUAUUGCAUGUGUCUUUGCUGCCUUUUUUACAAUGUCAGUUUUAUUUUCAUCACUUGAGAUAUUUCAAUUUUGAAUGAUCACUGAUACAUCAAACAGGAUUUCUAGUCAGGGGGCUUAAUGCCUAGCAAAGAGUAGACCUCAAAAUAUUUGCCACAUGAAAUAUGCUUCCGUGAAACAUGUACAGUGCUUUUACAGUGGGAGAAGUUUUCAGGUUGUCUAGGGUUGGAAAAAAAGAUAGACAUUCUGAGUUCAGUGUUAGAAGGUGAGGCCUAGGAGAACUCCUCUGUAGGACAUGCCAAGCUUGUCCAGCUGUCUCUGUCCUGUUUUCCAUCCACAGCCCAGUCAAAGGAGGUAUUCAAACAGCAAAGGAGGGGAGCAAGCGUGGCAUGGUAGCAGCACCAAAGGUAAAGCCCAUCUGUCCUGAAGCCUUUUAUUAUAAAAUUUGUAUCUACUUUCCAGGCUCAUAAGUGGUACCAAUUUCCUGGAAAUACAUUUCCUCAAGCAUAUUUGAUUCAUUAUACAGGUUUAACUGUAUCC
RNAcentral lists this long non-coding RNA (4942 nucleotides) under Sus scrofa (pig). Its description in RNAcentral is "lncRNA (ENSSSCG00060051625.1)". Lineage: Eukaryota; Metazoa; Chordata; Mammalia; Artiodactyla; Suidae. The record is from RNAcentral.